RNA transcript from Microtus oregoni (creeping vole), 4917 nucleotides. It is a transcript of the gene named argonaute RISC component 4, with no coding region annotated. NCBI's taxonomy places the organism in Eukaryota, Metazoa, Chordata, Mammalia, Rodentia, Cricetidae. The record is from RefSeq and is a predicted model, not a curated record. The transcript has 19 exons.
CCGGGAUUGUUUUUGUUGUCGCUGAGGCCGGAAGAGCCUUGAGAGAGCCGGGUCCGGGUCCCCGGGCCGGGCGCCGCCGCCGCCCCCUGCCCAGCGCCCGCGUCUUCGCGGCGCCGCCUCAGCGCCAUUAUUCCCGAGAGCAAGCGUUACACGGCGGCGGCGGCGGCGGGGCCCGGAGCGGGAGGCGCCGGGGACCGGAGCGAGGCGGCCCCCGUCGCCGCCAUGGAGGCGCUGGGACCCGGACCUCCAGCCAGUCUUUUCCAGCCACCUCGGCGUCCUGGCCUUGGAACUGUUGGGAAGCCAAUUCGACUGUUAGCCAAUCAUUUUCAGGUUCAGAUCCCUAAAAUAGAUGUGUAUCACUAUGAUGUGGAUAUUAAACCAGAAAAACGGCCUCGUAGAGUCAACAGGGAGGUGGUAGACACUAUGGUACGACACUUCAAGAUGCAGAUAUUUGGGGAUCGGCAGCCUGGUUAUGAUGGCAAAAGAAACAUGUACACAGCACAUCCACUGCCAAUUGGACGUGAUAGGGUUGACAUGGAGGUUACCCUCCCAGGUGAGGGUAAAGACCAAACUUUCAAAGUGUCUGUGCAAUGGGUGUCAGUUGUGAGCCUUCAGUUGCUCUUAGAAGCUUUAGCUGGGCACCUGAAUGAAGUCCCGGAUGACUCAGUACAAGCACUUGACGUUAUUACAAGGCAUCUUCCCUCUAUGAGGUACACUCCGGUGGGCCGUUCUUUUUUCUCACCCCCUGAAGGUUAUUACCACCCUCUGGGAGGUGGCAGAGAGGUCUGGUUCGGCUUUCACCAGUCUGUGAGACCUGCCAUGUGGAAUAUGAUGCUCAACAUUGAUGUAUCUGCAACUGCUUUUUACCGGGCUCAGCCUAUCAUUGAGUUCAUGUGUGAGGUUUUAGACAUUCAGAACAUCAAUGAACAGACAAAACCUCUAACAGACUCUCAGCGUGUCAAGUUUACCAAAGAAAUUAGAGGUCUCAAAGUUGAGGUGACUCACUGUGGACAGAUGAAACGAAAAUACCGAGUUUGCAAUGUGACAAGACGGCCAGCCAGUCAUCAAACCUUUCCUUUGCAGCUAGAAAAUGGUCAAGCUAUGGAAUGCACAGUAGCUCAGUAUUUUAAGCAGAAGUAUAGUCUGCAACUGAAAUACCCCCAUCUUCCAUGCCUUCAAGUGGGACAAGAGCAAAAGCAUACAUACUUGCCACUUGAGGUCUGUAAUAUAGUGGCAGGACAGAGAUGUAUAAAGAAGCUCACAGACAAUCAGACAUCCACAAUGAUCAAAGCCACAGCGAGAUCUGCUCCUGACAGACAGGAAGAAAUCAGUAGACUGGUGAAGAGCAAUAGCAUGGUGGGUGGACCUGACCCAUACCUGAAGGAAUUUGGGAUUGUUGUCCACAAUGAGAUGACGGAGCUCACAGGCAGGGUGCUUCCAGCUCCAAUGCUGCAGUAUGGAGGCCGGAAUAAAACAGUAGCCACACCCAACCAGGGUGUCUGGGACAUGCGAGGAAAGCAGUUUUAUGCUGGCAUUGAAAUUAAAGUUUGGGCAGUGGCUUGUUUUGCGCCUCAGAAACAAUGUAGGGAAGAUUUACUAAAGAGUUUCACUGACCAGCUUCGUAAAAUCUCCAAGGAUGCAGGGAUGCCCAUCCAGGGUCAGCCAUGUUUCUGCAAGUAUGCACAAGGUGCAGACAGUGUGGAGCCCAUGUUUAAACACCUGAAAAUGACAUAUGUGGGCCUGCAGCUAAUAGUGGUUAUCUUGCCUGGAAAGACACCAGUAUAUGCGGAGGUGAAACGAGUUGGAGAUACCCUUUUAGGUAUGGCCACACAAUGUGUCCAGGUCAAAAAUGUUGUCAAGACCUCGCCCCAAACCCUUUCCAACCUUUGCCUGAAGAUAAAUGCAAAGCUUGGAGGAAUUAACAAUGUACUUGUACCUCAUCAAAGGCCUUCAGUGUUCCAGCAGCCUGUCAUCUUCCUGGGAGCAGAUGUCACUCAUCCACCUGCUGGGGAUGGGAAGAAGCCUUCUAUUGCAGCCGUGGUGGGCAGCAUGGACGGCCACCCUAGCCGAUACUGUGCCACAGUGCGGGUGCAGACGUCUCGGCAGGAGAUUGCCCAGGAGCUGCUCUACAGUCAGGAGGUUGUGCAGGACCUGACGAGCAUGGCUCGGGAGCUGCUGAUUCAAUUCUACAAGUCCACACGUUUCAAGCCCACUCGCAUCAUCUACUACCGUGGAGGGGUGUCGGAGGGACAGAUGAAACAGGUAGCUUGGCCGGAGCUAAUAGCAAUUCGAAAGGCAUGUAUAAGCUUGGAGGAAGACUAUCGACCAGGAAUAACCUACAUUGUGGUGCAAAAGAGACAUCACACACGCCUCUUCUGUGCAGAUAAAACAGAAAGGGUGGGGAAAAGUGGCAAUGUCCCAGCAGGCACUACAGUGGAUAGUACCAUCACACAUCCAUCGGAGUUUGACUUUUACCUCUGUAGUCAUGCAGGAAUUCAGGGAACCAGCCGUCCUUCACAUUACCAGGUCUUGUGGGAUGACAACUGCUUCACUGCAGAUGAACUUCAGCUGCUGACUUACCAGCUCUGUCACACCUAUGUGAGGUGCACGCGCUCAGUCUCCAUUCCUGCCCCUGCAUAUUAUGCGCGGCUGGUAGCAUUUCGGGCAAGGUAUCAUUUGGUGGAUAAAGAUCAUGACAGUGCUGAAGGCAGUCACGUGUCAGGACAGAGCAAUGGCCGGGACCCUCAGGCUUUGGCUAAGGCUGUGCAGAUCCACCACGAUACCCAGCACACUAUGUAUUUUGCCUGAGAGUCUUGGAAAAGAACUCAACCAAUUUGGCAUCCCACGCAUCCUCAAAUGUUUCAGAUGCCUACUGCCUCUAGAUAGUGCCACGUUGAUUUCAGAAACCAUUGGUGGGAAACACUGGAUCAGAUGGUGAAGGGUGUUUGCUUGAACUCAUUAGUUGAUUCAAGAUCCAAAUCUGUUAAACUCGCCUUCUCAAAAUCCCAGCAAUACAAAGCACUGUUCUCCUUCAGUCUUUUCAGCAAGUUUGUAAAUACAUUAAUGUUUACAUUUCCGUGUGCUGUUGCUCAGCAAUGCCACCACCAACGUUAGCUGAACUGGUCUCUGAGAGAGUUUUUAAAUGUUCAUCGAGUACUUUAGCUCGUGAGGAUGAGUGCAGACAUCCUUAAUCUCUGCAGACAGUGGGGAAAAGCAAGUCCUGUGGCUGAAGCACAACGAAGGCAGGAGUGAAGAGAUGGCUGAUACUAUUUUUUUUUUUUUUUGCGAAUACCUCACUUGGAUAAUACAAAUCUGGACAUGUUGAUCAAUGGCUGGCUGCCCCUUUUAUUCACACUCAUUCAGGGAGAGCACAGAAAAUACUCUUCAGCACAGCCGCUCUGGAUCCAAGAGGAGGAAAAAAAUGGGAGCUUUUUAGGAGAAUGAGAACUCACCUGGAGCCUGUGGCAUGAAGAACUCUUGAUGGCUGGCUAGCUGGCUGGCCGGCCAGCAGGCACCACACCUGCACUUACUUGAGUGCCGCAGGCUCACUGGUUAACAAUGCACAGAAGAAAGUCUUGCCAUCUUCCUGCAUGAUGGAACAGGAAGCAAGCUGGGUGCCCAGAAGCCCUGAUCCAUCUGCCUGCAGUUGGGUUCCAUGUUUGACCUUGAACAAAAUACCCAAAACACCUCAAUCUGUCCUAGUAUGCUGUGGCCUAUUAGUGUGGUGGUGGAAGAAAGGCCAGGAGGCCAGUUUUUGUAGGAAAACAGUACCAUUAAGGGUGUGAUGCUGUUGUUUUGGACAAAUGGAAAGAAAUAUGGAAGAAUUAGGACUGUUGGGGAAAAGCUUGCCAAGGGGUGAAUAGUUAAGAGGUGAUCCCUGCAGAAUCAGAACUGCAGUAAUACUGUCGCAAGCAAAUCUGAAUGCAUAGUUUUAAUUUAAUUAGGGUUGACAAUUCAAAUAGUUCUCCCCUCGAAACUGACUGAAUCGUUAUGCAUGUGUCAGUCAAUGGGAGGUGUGCAUUCUCUAGAAGUAGUGUUAGGCUGUCUGGUUUUCUUAAACGCAGCCUAUUUAGGCACUGUCAUGUAGUGUGAAAGAUUGCAGUAUGGCAACGCUGAAGAAUAACAGUUUGGGGCUAGGGAGCACAGGACAUUAAGAGUGGGGAAGACCCAAAUGUUGAAAUAAUUAUGUUUUGUUGUUGUUGUUAGUUGUUGAGUCCUGAGCCGUUUAUGAAGUGAACCAGCUGGCUUAACGCAGCUAGCAUUCUGGGCAGGCAAACCACAUUUACUCCUACUGUAAAUUCUAUAUGCUGCUUCCAAAGGUGAUGACUUACAAGCAGGCAUGUUCUGUAUGUCCUGUAUUUUAGCAUCUGGUGCCCGAUCUAUAUCCAUGCCCUUACCCACCUGACUCAGCUGCCUAUUCCUUCCCCUGGGAAAAGAUAAUCCACUGUUUUAGCAAGGCUCACCCUCUCUACCCUAGUCGCCCUCUGUGGAUAUAUUAUACGAUUCUCUUGCUCAUUAGCAAGGUGGCAGCUCAGCUUUCAUUUUAAGAAAGUGGAGGUUAAGGGCAUUGUAUUAAUAUUGCUUCAACUCCAAGAAUUUUUUCUUGUAAAAUUAAAGGAAAGAUCUUUAUUGGCCAACUGUUUUCUUUUCCCUUGCUAUUGACAGAUUCAUAUUUUUUCUGUGUCUACUGGCUGAAAAUGUUUGUUUGUUCAUCUGACUAACGGUGUGGUUUUUGUUUCUCUGUUGUUAGACUUGUAAUGUUUUAAAAUGUAUUUUUAUUAAUUUGGACUGGAUGUCUGUCUCUAGCAAUACGAGGUACUUUCUAAGCUAUUAAGGAAGGGUUUGUAUCCCUGUGUGAAAUAAGGUGAUGGUUGUUUAAAAAUUUUUUUUUGGCCUGCAGGGAUAUUUUGUGUUCAU